Molecule: ribosomal RNA, 460 nt
Filed under: uncultured bacterium
Lineage: Bacteria
Description: partial 16S ribosomal RNA
Rfam family: Bacterial small subunit ribosomal RNA
Source: RNAcentral
CCUACGGGGGGCAGCAGUGAGGAAUAUUGGUCAAUGGACGAGAGUCUGAACCAGCCAAGUAGCGUGAAGGAUGACUGCCCUAUGGGUUGUAAACUUCUUUUAUAUGGGAAUAAAAUGUUCCACGUGUGGGAUUUUGUAUGUACCAUAUGAAUAAGGAUCGGCUAACUCCGUGCCAGCAGCCGCGGUAAUACGGAGGAUCCGAGCGUUAUCCGGAUUUAUUGGGUUUAAAGGGAGCGUAGGUGGAUUGUUAAGUCAGUUGUGAAAGUUUUCGGCUCAACCGUAAAAUUGCAGUUGAAACUGGCAGUCUUGAGUACAGUAGAGGUGGGCGGAAUUCGUGGUGUAGCGGUGAAAUGCUUAGAUAUCACGAAGAACUCCGAUUGCGAAGGCAGUUCACUGGACUGCAACUGACACUGAGGCUCGAAAGUGUGGGUAUCAAACAGGAUUAGAUACCCUUGUAGUC